RNAcentral lists this long non-coding RNA (2462 nucleotides) under Oryzias javanicus (javanese ricefish). Its description in RNAcentral is "lncRNA (ENSOJAG00000019768.1)". Lineage: Eukaryota; Metazoa; Chordata; Actinopteri; Beloniformes; Adrianichthyidae. The record is from RNAcentral.
AUGUGGGGAAUAAUAAAAGCUAAGGUAAUUAUUCUAGCAUCAUAGCCUCGUGUGUUUGUGUGUGAUUUCUGGGUGUCUACCUCUGGGGACCUGCAGAUUUCUGCUGAUCAGAACCUGAUAAGGUUUUUCACAGAACAUUUUUGGCGUCACGAACUGAGACUGACCAGAGGAUAUACUCAGAGAUCAUGUUUAAGUGGAGGAAAAAGGCAGCGGAGGAAUCCGUAGCCGAUGCAUUGAUUCCCGGAUGGGAAGAAAGCCCCUGGAAGGAGGUGGCUUUUUGUUUACGCCGUGGAGCGAGCUGCUCCGACGUGUGGCAAAGUGUGGUCGGUGAUGGAUCACCUGAGACAGUUUUACGGCUGCUCACGAAUGUUCCCGUUCAUCCCAAAACCCCGUUGGAGGGGGUUCAGAGGAGGAUGUGGCUCUGUGCUGCAGCUUGGAGAGUUAAAAGUGAACUGUUUGAAGUACAGCGUGAUGAAACUGUUAAGAUGAAACAACAGUUAAGUGAAAUUCAAAGUGAGAUUGCUCUGCAGACAGAGCAAAUGCGUUUGUUGCAAAGUAAACUGGAUCGCAUGACGCGGUUGGCUGAGCGCUCUGUGGCUCACGUGUCAAAAGUAAAUAGACAGCAGCGGCGGAUGAAGCCCCGCUGCCCUGAAGUUGCCUCCGUACGCUCCUUUGUAGCACGACCGGUGGAGGGAGCAGAUGAUUGGGAUCCCGAGACGGGGGAUGGAGACGUCUGGGAUGAUUCUGAUAAGACGGGAGGACAGUUAGAUGAAUGGUAUGGAGCGCACCCAGACCCUCCUCCAUACCCGCCGUAUACGGUACCCGAGGGUGUGGGAGUUGGUCUCCGAACGGACGCUCAGGGGACCUUCCAAGAGCCACUAUGGAAAACCACAUCAGCCGGUCCACUGGCAGUGUCGCUGUCCUGAGACCGAGGAUCAUCGACCUCUCCUUCUCAGUGGAGAGCAUUCCGGCCCUUCAGCUUCAAAGGGCCUCUAUCUGAAGUGAAGUGCCUAUCACGUCACAGGAGGGCGUGGUAUGAUCUGAUGGGCCUCUCCAACUCUUCCGAUGGAAAGGUAACAAGAAAUAUACUGUCGAACACAGGAAAAAGGAUCGCUCAUGGAUUACAACAAGUAGGUGUGUGGAUGCCGUCAGUAGCAGAAAGAGACUGCUGAUCUGCUCGUCCAUACGCUAUCAUGGCACAUGGAGAUGUGGAACCUCACCAGUGAGAUUUUGACGACUAUUACUGGUACCUUGAACUUGACAGUUUGUAACGUACGAUUGUUAGACAUGAAUCUACAACAAGAAUGAUUCGUUGGAGACAUGACAACCAACAACAGCGGCGACCAGCGGCGAAGACGGAAUAUUCCGAAUAGACUGUUACAAACCACACCUGCCAAGACUAAGUGUAGUGAAACUGUCUGUACUGGUUAUUGGGUGUUGUAUAAUGUUACUAAACCAACAACUGAGUGCAAGUCUUAUAUGUUGACUUAUGUAGAACAACCUAGAGAUUGUGUAGCCACUAUGCAUUACCAGCUUGGGACACCUUGCACUGGGUGCUUGACAGGUGUUCAUCUGGGGCACUGGAACAACCAGACCUAUUAUUUGACAAACUAUGGCAUUGGUCUCUCUGGGUUGGUUUAGAUGCGCACUGAACCGGUCCGCUGAGCUCAGAGCAAUGGUAGAGUCACAUAGGUCUAACGUUUCCAGACUACUGGUGUCCACCGUCCUGGCCCAGGGUGGGGUGUUACAUGAUUAACCGCUUGCAGUGUAUUCGCUUUUGGAAAGGUAACAAGACAAUUGCGGACGAUUGAUCAGGACAUGAGAAGAUGAGUUGAUGCUCAGAUCAGACCACAGGGUGGAAUGUAAAGAAAAUAUAUUUUGUGUGUGUGUUCUGAUCUGACCAUUCUGGAGCCGAGUCCCACCACCUGCAUUGAGCUGCUGAAGGAGAAGCCUCUGGAAUGUAAACAUGUUAUUCUGCUCUGCUUAGCCGCUUCACAUAGAAAACACUUGUGCGAAUGUAGAUGUUUUCUAUUCCUCUGGAAAACACCUCUUGGCUCCCAGGGAAGACUUUUUUCUCCCACAGGGUGACGUUUUCUAUUUCCUCUGGGAAACACCUCUCGAUUCCCAGGGGAGGACUUUUUUAUUUCAAUGUAUAAAAGACGGGACGUUGCUAGAAUCGUUGAAGUCAGCUGGAUGGUUAUGUACGACACCAGCCAAGUCGAAGCUGUCCUUACCGGGGUUAUGUUGACUUCCCAUCUCCCAUUUCAGCGGUAAGAGUGAUUUGAAUGCUUCACCUAUGUAGUUGAUUGUUUUGACUUGCUAUGCUCUGUGGGGAAUAAUAAAAGCUAAGGUAAUUAUUCUAGCAUCAUAGCCUCGUGUGUUUGUGUGUGAUUUCUGGGUGUCUACCUCUGGGGACCUGCAGAUUUCUGCUGAUCAGAACCUGAUAAGGUUUUUCACAGAAC